GGAUAAGCAAUGAGAAUUUCCUCCUCC
Molecule: non-coding RNA, 27 nt
Filed under: Mus musculus (house mouse)
Lineage: Eukaryota; Metazoa; Chordata; Mammalia; Rodentia; Muridae
Source: RNAcentral